UACGUAGGGGGCAAGCGUUGUCCGGAAUUAUUGGGCGUAAAGCGCGUGUAGGCUGCUACAUAAGUCGGAUGUGAAAGCCCCGGGCUCAACCCGGGAAGUGCACUCGAUACUGCGUAGCUUGAGUCUCGGAGAGGUUGGUGGAAUUCUCGGUGUAGAGGUGAAAUUCGUAGAUAUCGAGAGGAACACCGGUGGCGAAGGCGGCCAACUGGACGAAGACUGACGCUGAGACGCGAAAGCGUGGGGAGCGAACAGG
RNAcentral lists this ribosomal RNA (253 nucleotides) under uncultured bacterium. RNAcentral's name for it is "partial 16S ribosomal RNA". It matches the Rfam family "Bacterial small subunit ribosomal RNA", at positions 524 to 776 of the family's 1533-position model. The record is from RNAcentral.